Molecule: long non-coding RNA, 2805 nt
Filed under: Hordeum vulgare
Lineage: Eukaryota; Viridiplantae; Streptophyta; Magnoliopsida; Poales; Poaceae
Description: long non-coding RNA (HVUL_LNC005604)
Source: RNAcentral
UCUAUUUGCUGGCUAGCUUUGGUUGUUCUCAAGGAAAUAAAGAGACAUGAUGAACUUGCAAAUUAUAAAAAUGCAAGAAGAACAUUAAGAAAAUAGUGGCGUAGAGUUAGACCAAACCUGAUAUUUUUGCUUCUAUAAUUUGCUUUGCAAGGUCAUACAGGGAUCCAAGAAGUUCAUCUCUCCGUUCACAGUAUUCUUGGGCUAGCACACCAUGGUCCUACCCACGUUCAAAUUUGGCAGUUAAUAGACCAACAGCACGAGACGACAGAUGACAUACCUGCAAAUCCUGAUUCUCUCAAAAGCUCCAUCACAGAUGAUGCGAGACUCCUGAACCAACACAAAAUCAUGAAAUAAAUAAACUUUGGCAUGCAUUGUUCAAACCUGAGAAAUCCAUCUAUUUGUUGGCUAGCUUUGGUUUUCGAAUAGCACUGAUACUGCUUAAUCGUUGUUGCUGGUGCCACCUGAGAUGUUGUAUUGAAUGAAGACUUAUAUACAUGUGUGGAUACAUAGACAAAACACUGUCCCUAUCAAGCCUCUAGUUGGCUAGCCAGUUGAUCAAAGAUAGUCAGGGUCUUCUGAUUAUGAACAAGGUGUUGUUGCUUGAUAACUGGAUCACGUCAUUAGGAGAAUGACGUGAUGGACUAGACCCAAACUAAUAGACGUAGAAUUUUGAUCGUGUCAUUUUGUUGCUACUGUUUUCUGCGUGUCAAGUAUUUGUUCCUAUGACCAUGAGAUCAUAUAACUCACUGACACCGAAGGAAUGCUUUAUGUGUAUCAAACGUCGCAACGUAACUGGGUGACUAUAAAGAUGCUCUACAGGUAUCUCCGAAGGUGUUCGUUGAGUUAGUAUGGAUCGAGACUGGGAUUUGUCACUCCGUGUGACGGAGAGGUAUCUCGGGGCCCACUCGGUAAUACAACAUCACACACAAGCCUUGCAAGCAAUGUGACUUAGUGUAAGUUGCGGGAUCUUGUAUUACGGAACGAGUAAAGAGACUUGCCGGUAAACGAGAUUGAAAUAGGUAUGCGGAUACUGACGAUCGAAUCUCGGGCAAGUAACAUACCGAAGGACAAAGGGAAUGACAUACGGGAUUAUAUGAAUCCUUGGCACUGAGGUUCAAACGAUAAGAUCUUCGUAGAAUAUGUAGGAUCCAAUAUGGGCAUCCAGGUCCCGCUAUUGGAUAUUGACCGAGGAGUCUCUCGGGUCAUGUCUACAUAGUUCUCGAACCCGCAGGGUCUGCACACUUAAGGUUCGACGUUGUUUUAUGCGUAUUUGAGUUAUAUGGUUGGUUACCGAAUGUUGUUCGGAGUCCCGGAUGAGAUCACGGACGUCACGAGGGUUUCCGGAAUGGUCCGGAAACAAAGAUUGAUAUAUAGGAUGACCUCAUUUGAUUACCGGAAGGUUUUCAGAGUUACCGGGAAUGUACAGGGAAUGACGAAUGGGUUCCGGGUGUUCACCGGGGGGGCAACCCACCCCGGGGAAGCCCACAGGCCUUGGGGGUGUCGCACCAGCCCUUAGUGGGCUGGUGGGACAGGCCAAGAAGGCCCUAUGAGCCAUAGGAAGAAAAUCAAAGAGAAAAAAAAAGAGGAGGUGGGAAAAGGGGGAAGGACUCCUCCUUCCAAACCUAGUUGGAUUCGGUUUGGAAGGGGGGACUCCCCCCCCUUUGGCUCGGCCGACCCCCUUGAGGGUCCUUGGACCCCCAAGGCAAGGCUCCCCCUCUUCCCCCUAUAUAUACGGAGGUUUUAGGGCUGAUUUGAGACAACUUUGCCACGGCAGCCCGACCACAUAUCUCCACGGUUUUACCUCUAGAUCGUGUUUCUGCGGAGCUCGGGUGGGGCCCUGCUGAGAUUAGAUCAUCACCAACCUCUGGAGCGCCGUCACGCUGCCGGAGAACUCAUCUACCUCUCCGUCUCUCUUGCUGGAUCAAGAAGGCCGAGAUCAUCGUCGAGUUGUACGUGUGCUGAACGCGGAGGUGUCGUCCGUUCGGCACUAGAUCGUGGGACUGAUCGCGGGACGGUUCGCGGGGCGGAUCGAGGGACGUGAGGACGUUCCACUACAUCAACCGCGUUCACUAACGCUUCUGCUGUACGGUCUACAAGGGUACGUAGAUCACACAUCCCCUCUCGUAGAUGGACAUCACCAUGAUAGGUCUUCGUGCGUGUAGGAAUUUUUUUGUUUCCCAUGCGACGUUCCCCAACAAGAUUAGAUUUCAUUGGCAUGCUUGCAGAUCCUGAUUCUCUCAAAAGCUCCAUCACAGUUGAUGCCAGACUCCUGAAGCAACAUAGAAUCAUGAAAUAAAUAAACUUUGGCAUGCAUUGUUUAAAACCUUAGGAAUCGAUCUAUUUGCUGGCUAGCUUUGGUUGUUCUCAAGGAAAUAAAGAGACAUGAUGAACUUGCAAAUUAUAAAAAUGCAAGAAGAACAUUAAGAAAAUAGUGGCGUAGAGUUAGACCAAACCUGAUAUUUUUGCUUCUAUAAUUUGCUUUGCAAGGUCAUACAGGGAUCCAAGAAGUUCAUCUCUCCGUUCACAGUAUUCUUGGGCUAGCACACCAUGGUCCUACCCACGUUCAAAUUUGGCAGUUAAUAGACCAACAGCACGAGACGACAGAUGACAUACCUGCAAAUCCUGAUUCUCUCAAAAGCUCCAUCACAGAUGAUGCGAGACUCCUGAACCAACACAAAAUCAUGAAAUAAAUAAACUUUGGCAUGCAUUGUUCAAACCUGAGAAAUCCAUCUAUUUGUUGGCUAGCUUUGGUUUUCGAAUAGCACUGAUACUGCUUAAUCGUUGUUGCUGGUGCCACCUGAGAUG